GUCUACAGCAUGCCACCCUGAACAUGCUCGAUCUAGUCUGAUCUUGGAAGCAAAGCAGGGUUGGGCCUGGUCAGUACUUGUUUGGGAGACCACCUAGGAAUACCAGGUGCUGUAGGCG
This 118-nucleotide ribosomal RNA is filed under the name Pteropus alecto (black flying fox). Lineage: Eukaryota; Metazoa; Chordata; Mammalia; Chiroptera; Pteropodidae. The record is from RNAcentral.